UGAUGAGCCAAAACUGAGGAUAUCUGGAGCACCUCUCCCAUGCCUUCUCUCCGACUCUAAUCCCCGGACAUCCCGUUAGCUUUCAGCGUGUGUCGUAACAAUUACUGUUGUCUGUCAGCGUCCAUGAGAGAGGCUCGAAAUGGAAAGGAUUAAUACAUAACAGAUUGCCAGAUUGACGACACAAACAGGAACGAGCCACUUGAUGAUGAAUGAAAUGAAAUACGCCGUGUUUUCCAUCAACUGGCAACCCGGGGUGCUGAGAUACAAUUGGGUAAACUGGAAGUGGGCGGGUUUUAAAAACCAAAACAAAGAUCGACAGCCCAUAUCCUUAACCAUCAGACUAGCACCGCCCACUACGCCUGUUGAACAAACAAACAAGCAUCUGAAGAGGUCAACAUGUCUAGGAACACCAACGUAGACAGCGAGUGCUGAGCGCCUGAAAUCAUAGCUGACUGAACAAACAAGCGGUUUGGUGGCAAUUUUGCCGCCAGUUAUGAAAGCUCUGACAUCAGUGACACAGCACACUUAACAGACGGGGAAAACCAAACCGUCAGUCACAGAGGAAGUUUUAGGAUGUUUCCAAGCAAGACAGGAGGAGCUUUAAUAAAAAAGAAUUUAGCAUGAGAAAAGUAUAAACAAUAACAUAUGGGAUGUGUGUGGCAAGAGAAGUAG
Long non-coding RNA from Cyprinus carpio carpio, 672 nucleotides. The record is from Ensembl. NCBI's taxonomy places the organism in Eukaryota, Metazoa, Chordata, Actinopteri, Cypriniformes, Cyprinidae.